CCUACGGGCGGCAGCAGUGGGGAAUAUUGCACAAUGGGGGAAACCCUGAUGAAGCGACGCCGCGUAGGUGAAGAAGUAUCUCGGUACGUAAAGCCCUAUCAGCAGGGAGGAAAAUGACGGUACCUAACUAAGAAGCCCCGGCUAACUACGUGCCAGCAACCGCGGGAAUACGUAGGGGGUAAGCGUUAUCCGGAUUUACUGGGUGUAAAGGGGGCGUAGACGGCAGCACAAGUCUGGAGUGAAAUCCCGGGGCUUAACCCCGGAACUGCUUUGGAAACUGUGCGGCUGGAGUGCAGGAGGGGUAAGCGGAAUUCCUAGUGUAGCGGUGAAAUGCGUAGAUAUUAGGAGGAACACCGGUGGCGAAGGCGGCUUACUGGACUGUAACUGACGUUGAGGCUCGAAAGCGUGGGGAGCAAACAGGAUUAGAUACCCUUGUAGUC
This 440-nucleotide ribosomal RNA is filed under the name uncultured bacterium. Its description in RNAcentral is "partial 16S ribosomal RNA". It matches the Rfam family "Bacterial small subunit ribosomal RNA", at positions 338 to 795 of the family's 1533-position model. The record is from RNAcentral.